CCAUUACAGAAAAUCCCAUUCUAUCUCUCUCUGAUAUCUCAUUCUUCCUUUCUGGGCUAAAUAUGGUGAGGGUUCUGCCAUAAGCUUCUUCAUCAUAGCCUCUUUUGAAAGAUGGAAACUUUCCCACAAGUUAACGUUAUCGAGCAAUUUUUAACAAAGAUCAGCAAAUAUUAGAGUGAUGUUUGGUCUAAAGCUCAAGAGGAAACAGCAAAAGGUACUAGUACGUCUGAAGAGGGUUGUUGAUUUUGUUUAUCAGAAAAUUCUAGGCCAAGCAGAGGGGCAGCCACCCUCCAAGAAUUCCCUUCUCUCUGAUGGCCUCAUUCUUCAUGGUACAGGGGUAUAUUUGGCCCUUUUCCGUUCGUCAUACUGGGCUAAACCUCCACUUUUCUAUGCUUUUGCUGCUGCUUUGCCUGAAAGCGCAGCCACAAAGGAGCAAAGUAAUCAUAGAUAAAGAGACAUAAAGAGACAAUAUAAAAGGGCAGCCCAGGGAGCUUUCCCACUACUGGGCAGAAUGGCCAAACAACAAGGUCUAUUAUACGCAGCCUUACCCUUCAUUUCUGCAAGACGCUGUUUCCACAGCUUGAACCCAUUACCUCCUGUAUCACAUGGCAGCAACUUUACCAUAUAUAUUAAGUACCUGGUAUAUAUGCUUAAAGGGCUGUUUAUUAGAGCAAAAAGGAAAUUCAUAGACAUACUAGAGAUGGUUUACCACCCUGAAAAUCCUUUUUUUUUCCUCCGAUUACCUCAUUUUUUAGCUAAAAUUUUAUGGACAACUGCAUCUUAAACUGUGUUCAAGAAAAACUGAAAAGCCAAUUGUGUUUCUGUAAAACUUUAGGGCUCAGAUUUUUCUGUAUAUAAGCAUGCAAGAAGAAAGGAACACAAUUGAUGGCUGCACAACGAUUUGCAAAUGGAUGACGUAC
RNAcentral lists this long non-coding RNA (920 nucleotides) under Capsicum annuum. RNAcentral describes it as "long non-coding RNA (CANN_LNC014726)". The record is from RNAcentral. Lineage: Eukaryota; Viridiplantae; Streptophyta; Magnoliopsida; Solanales; Solanaceae.